CUACGGGGGGCAGCAGUGAGGAAUAUUGCACAAUGGAGGAAACUCUGAUGCAGCAACGCCGCGUGGAGGAUGACGCAUUUCGGUGUGUAAACUCCUUUUAUAUGUCAAGAAAAUGACGGUAGCAUAUGAAUAAGCACCGGCUAACUCCGUGCCAGCAGCCGCGGUAAUACGGAGGGUGCAAGCGUUACCCGGAAUCACUGGGCGUAAAGGACGCGUAGGCGGGAUAUCAAGUCAGGUGUGAAAUCCUACAGCUUAACUGUAGAACUGCACUUGAAACUGGUAACCUAGAGUAUGGGAGGGGGAGAUGGAAUUAGUGGUGUAGGGGUAAAAUCCGUAGAUGUCACUAGGAAUACCUAAAGCGAAGGCGAUCUCCUGGAACAUAACUGACGCUAAGGCGUGAAAGCGUGGGGAGCAAACAGGAUUAGAUACCCUCGUAGUC
RNAcentral lists this ribosomal RNA (439 nucleotides) under uncultured bacterium. RNAcentral's name for it is "partial 16S ribosomal RNA". It matches the Rfam family "Bacterial small subunit ribosomal RNA", at positions 339 to 795 of the family's 1533-position model. The record is from RNAcentral.